RNAcentral lists this ribosomal RNA (1064 nucleotides) under human gut metagenome. RNAcentral's name for it is "bacterial LSU rRNA". It matches the Rfam family "Bacterial large subunit ribosomal RNA", at positions 1326 to 2399 of the family's 2925-position model. The record is from RNAcentral.
AAACCCCCUCGCCGAAAGACUAAGGUUUCCUGAUCAACGCUAAUCGGAUCAGGGUUAGUCGGGUCCUAAGGCUCAGCCGAACGGUGAUGCCGAUGGCAGAACAGGUUAAUAUUCCUGUACUACCUUUAGGAGUGACGUGGAGACGGAGGCGUGACAGCGCCGCGAACUGACGGAAUAGUUCGUUGAAGGGUGUAGAUGUUGAUUGCGGCAGGCAAAUCCACCGCAAGAGUCGAACCUGAUAGUAUGGAGCGUUCUUCUGAACAAUCCAAUAGUGCGUGUAAACAUACUCCCAAGAAAAUCCGCUAAACUUAAUCUUAAAGGUACCCGUACCGUAAACGGACACACGUAGUCGGGUUGAAUAUACUAAGGCGCUUGAGUGAAUCACGGUUAAGGAACUAGGCAAAUUGACCCUGUAACUUCGGGAUAAAGGGUCCCCGUCAGUGAUGGCGGGGCGCAGAGAAUAGGUCCAGGCAACUGUUUAACAAAAACACAGGGCUGUGCAAAAUUGAAAGAUCACGUAUACAGCCUGACACCUGCCCGGUGCUGGAAGGUUAAGAGGAGAUGUCAUCGCAAGAGAAGCAUUGAAUUGAAGCCCCAGUAAACGGCGGCCGUAACUAUAACGGUCCUAAGGUAGCGAAAUUCCUUGUCGGGUAAGUUCCGACCUGCACGAAUGGUGUAAUGAUCUGGACGCUGUCUCAACCGUGAGCUCAGUGAAAUUGUAGUAUCGGUGAAGAUGCCGAUUACCCGCGAUGGGACGAAAAGACCCCGUGAACCUUUACUAUAGCUUAACAUUGAAUUUGGGUAAUUGAUGUGUAGGAUAGGCCGGAGACUUUGAAGCAGGUACGCCAGUAUUUGUGGAGUCGCUGUUGAAAUACGGCCCUUUGAUUAUUUGAGUUCUAACUCGUGGAUGCGAGGACACUGUUUGGUGGGUAGUUUGACUGGGGUGGUCGCCUCCAAAAGUGUAACGGAGGCUUCUAAAGGUGCCCUCACGCCGAUUGGUAACCGGCGGUAGAGUGUAAUGGCAUAAGGGCGCUUGACUGGGAGACUAACAAGUCGAUCAGGUA